UUAUAGUAUUGCACAAGGAAGUGAUAUUACAGUGGUAAUGGAAGGAGAAGGCUUACUGUUGUCCCUCCAGACUCAGAGGGCUACACUGGCAGCCUUAUCAAAAUGGCAACAACCAGUGGAAGAACAGCACUCUACAUGGUCCCUCUUCAAGAUGAGUUGUGUCUUGAUCCACUUCCAUUCUCAGCAGAGGAGUUUGUCAAGAUGCCAAAGGUGGAGUGUCGGACAUGUCAAACAACCAUGCCAUUACCAGUUUUAUACAUGCAUAUCAAGUCCUGUGGUGGCACACAAUCAGCUGAUGAUGAUGAGAUUACUGAUGAUGAUGAAGUAAAAAUAGUUGCU
Long non-coding RNA from Sinocyclocheilus anshuiensis, 339 nucleotides. RefSeq lists it as uncharacterized. Lineage: Eukaryota; Metazoa; Chordata; Actinopteri; Cypriniformes; Cyprinidae. The transcript has 3 exons. The record is from RefSeq and is a predicted model, not a curated record.